UACAGAGGUCUCAAGCGUUGUUCGGAUUCAUUGGGCGUAAAGGGUGCGUAGGCGGGCAGGUAAGUCCGUGGCGAAAUCUCCGAGCUUAACUCGGAAACUGCCAUGGAUACUAUUUGUCUUGAAUACUGUGAAGGUGAGCGGAAUAUGUCAUGUAGCGGUGAAAUGCUUAGAUAUGACAUAGAACACCAAAUUGCGAAGGCAGCUCACUGCGCAGUGAUUGACGCUGAGGCACGAAAGCGUGGGGAUCAAACAGG
This 254-nucleotide ribosomal RNA is filed under the name uncultured bacterium. Its description in RNAcentral is "partial 16S ribosomal RNA". It matches the Rfam family "Bacterial small subunit ribosomal RNA", at positions 524 to 776 of the family's 1533-position model. The record is from RNAcentral.